GACGGAGGAUGCAAGCGUUAUCCGGAAUGAUUGGGCGUAAAGCGUCCGCAGGUGGCAGUUCAAGUCUGCUGUCAAAGACCGGGGCUUAACUUCGGAAAGGCAGUGGAAACUGAACAGCUAGAGUAUGGUAGGGGCAGAGGGAAUUCCUGGUGUAGCGGUGAAAUGCGUAGAUAUCUGGAGGAACACCGGUGGCGAAGGCGGCAUCCUGGACCAAUAUUGACGCUGAGGAGCGAAAGCCAGGGGAGCAAACGGG
RNAcentral lists this ribosomal RNA (253 nucleotides) under uncultured bacterium. RNAcentral's name for it is "partial 16S ribosomal RNA". It matches the Rfam family "Bacterial small subunit ribosomal RNA", at positions 524 to 776 of the family's 1533-position model. The record is from RNAcentral.